GAUGAACGCUGGCGGCGUGCCUAAUACAUGCAAGUCGAGCGAACAGACGAGGAGCUUGCUCCUCUGACGUUAGCGGCGGACGGGUGAGUAACGCGUGGAUAACCUACCUAUAAGACUGGGAUAACUUCGGGAAACCGGAGCUAAUACCGGAUAAUAUAUUGAACCGCAUGGUUCAAUAGUGAAAGACGGUUUUGCUGUCACUUAUAGAUGGAUCCGCGCCGCAUUAGCUAGUUGGUAAGGUAACGGCUUACCAAGGCAACGAUGCGUAGCCGACCUGAGAGGGUGAUCGGCCACACUGGAACUGAGACACGGUCCAGACUCCUACGGGAGGCAGCAGUAGGGAAUCUUCCGCAAUGGGCGAAAGCCUGACGGAGCAACGCCGCGUGAGUGAUGAAGGUCUUCGGAUCGUAAAACUCUGUUAUUAGGGAAGAACAAUUGUGUAAGUAACUAUGCACGUCUUGACGGUACCUAAUCAGAAAGCCACGGCUAACUACGUG
This 497-nucleotide ribosomal RNA is filed under the name uncultured bacterium. RNAcentral describes it as "partial 16S ribosomal RNA". It matches the Rfam family "Bacterial small subunit ribosomal RNA", at positions 28 to 507 of the family's 1533-position model. The record is from RNAcentral.